RNAcentral lists this ribosomal RNA (253 nucleotides) under uncultured bacterium. Its description in RNAcentral is "partial 16S ribosomal RNA". It matches the Rfam family "Bacterial small subunit ribosomal RNA", at positions 524 to 776 of the family's 1533-position model. The record is from RNAcentral.
UACGUAGGGUCCGAGCGUUGUCCGGAAUUAUUGGGCGUAAAGGGCUCGUAGGCGGUCUGUUGCGUCGGGAGUGAAAACUUACAGCUUAACUGUGAGCGUGCUUUCGAUACGGGCAGACUUGAGGCAUUCAGGGGAGAACGGAAUUCCUGGUGUAGCGGUGAAAUGCGCAGAUAUCAGGAGGAACACCGGUGGCGAAGGCGGUUCUCUGGGACGGUACUGACGCUGAGACGCGAAAGCGUGGGGAGCGAACAGG